This 255-nucleotide ribosomal RNA is filed under the name uncultured bacterium. RNAcentral's name for it is "partial 16S ribosomal RNA". It matches the Rfam family "Bacterial small subunit ribosomal RNA", at positions 524 to 776 of the family's 1533-position model. The record is from RNAcentral.
UACAGAGGUCUCAAGCGUUGUUCGGAAUCACUGGGCGUAAAGGGUGCGUAGGCGGUGCGGCAAGUCAGAUGUGAAAUCCCGGGGCUCAACCUCGGAACUGCAUCCGAUACUGCCCAUCUUGAAGGUGGCUAGGGGGAGAUGGAAUUACCGGUGUAGCGGAUGAAAUGCGUAGAGAUCGGUAGGAACACCAGUGGCGAAGGCGGUCUCCUGGAGCAUACUUGACGCUGAGGCGCGAAAGCUGGGGGAGCGAACGGG